UUCUCUACUAGCUAAAAUAUGGUCAUCUAGGCUCCUAUUUCCACCCAUUCCAUCCCUGUACAAAGAAACCAAUUAACAAAGAAGUGAAACAACAGUAGGUAAAUAACAUAAUGAGUGAAAUUAAAGAGGCAGAUCAUAGAGAGGCUCCAAAUGGAAACACUGUUCUCCAUCUCCUUCCUCACAUGUAAUCCAUUGCAAGGUUGCCAUUGUUCGGAAUAAACUCCGGUGAGUUGCUCAUCAUUGUAGCAUUUCUAGCCAUAGCAAGAUUGUCACCGGCCUUGCUUCUCAUUUCCAGGAC
Molecule: unclassified non-coding RNA, 298 nt
Filed under: Hevea brasiliensis (rubber tree)
Lineage: Eukaryota; Viridiplantae; Streptophyta; Magnoliopsida; Malpighiales; Euphorbiaceae
Source: RNAcentral